UACGUAGGGCGCAAGCGUUAUCCGGAAUUAUUGGGCGUAAAGAGCUCGUAGGCGGUUUUGUUGCGUCGGCUGUGAAAUCCCGAGGCUCAACCUCGGGUCUGCAGUCGAUACGAGCAAACUAGAGUGUUGCAGGGGAGACUGGAAUUCCUGGUGUAGCGGUGAAAUGCGCAGAUAUCAGGAGGAACACCGGUGGCGAAGGCAGCAUACUGGCCGGCAUCUGACGCUGAGGCGCGAAAGCGUGGGUAGCAAACAGG
RNAcentral lists this ribosomal RNA (254 nucleotides) under uncultured bacterium. RNAcentral describes it as "partial 16S ribosomal RNA". It matches the Rfam family "Bacterial small subunit ribosomal RNA", at positions 524 to 776 of the family's 1533-position model. The record is from RNAcentral.